Chiloscyllium plagiosum (whitespotted bambooshark) is the source of this 327-nucleotide non-coding RNA. The record is from RefSeq and is a predicted model, not a curated record. NCBI's taxonomy places the organism in Eukaryota, Metazoa, Chordata, Chondrichthyes, Orectolobiformes, Hemiscylliidae.
CCUUGGUAACAGUGAAUGGUUGUCAUGGUGACUGAGGACGCGCCUGCUGUACCCGGCGGGUUGGAGCACAGAGAAUCGUGAGGCUUUUUGUGCGGGGGACGGCCUCUGGAUCGUGAACGGUAACAAAAACAAAAUGCUGCCAAUUGAUUCGGAAGAUUUGUUGUUUCGAAUAAAGGGAGGAGUUCAGUUGGAAGGAGUUAUCAACAAAACUGAUGAAGAAGGAAUUAAAGCAGCCUUUCAGGAAGCCAUUAAUGAACUGAUUUCUAAGGUAAAUUCAAAGGCUUUCAUCAUAAGUGGCGGUCCAAUAUUUAUGUGGCCCAAAAUCCA